GGAAAGCUGAGGAGUGCCACUGUCGCUGGCCUGGAUGCGCACAUCAAGCUGGCGCAGCAUCUCGUAGUCGAAGCUGCGCAGCGCGUAAAUAGCCCCGGUAGCCGGAUCCACAGAGACAUAGGUGGACACGGCGUCCCCGGAGCGGCCCACCUCGGCCUCUAGCAGGCGGGUCGCUCUGGGAAGCAACGCUCGUCCUGUUUCAGAAGAACAAAAUCACAGCGUGACGUUGAAACCUGGCACGAACCUGGGAGAACUUAACCAUCUGCCUGCAAAGGAUGGAGCUUAGGCUCUGCCAAAUUCCGGGCCAGGCGGGUUGUCAGGCUUGCCAGGCGCUAAGCCGCGCCCACAAAUAUCCCCCUCCCAUCCGUGAAGGCCAGGGACAGAGACAUCAACCGGAACAGGACGGAUUCUUAUUGAUUCUUACUGAAGGGCUUUAUUGAGCAGUCUAUGUAAAUACACAAGAAGGAAGAGAUGUAAAAACAAGAAGUAAUAAUAAAAAGGCAAUAGGUUUAAUAAGUGGA
This is a long non-coding RNA of Heterocephalus glaber (naked mole-rat), 521 nucleotides long. RefSeq lists it as uncharacterized. The record is from RefSeq and is a predicted model, not a curated record. Lineage: Eukaryota; Metazoa; Chordata; Mammalia; Rodentia; Bathyergidae.